Molecule: ribosomal RNA, 253 nt
Filed under: uncultured bacterium
Lineage: Bacteria
Description: partial 16S ribosomal RNA
Rfam family: Bacterial small subunit ribosomal RNA
Source: RNAcentral
UACGUAGGUGGCAAGCGUUGUCCGGAUUUAUUGGGUUUAAAGGGUGCGUAGGCGGUUCUCUAAGUCAGUUGUGAAAUACGGCAGCUUAACUGUCGAGGUGCAAUUGAUACUGGAGAACUUGAGUACUGAUGAGGUAGGCGGAAUGGACGGUGUAGCGGUGAAAUGCUUAGAUAUCGUCCAGAACACCGAUAGCGAAGGCAGCUUACUAAGGAGUAACUGACGCUGAGGCACGAAAGUGUGGGGAUCAAACAGG